UCUCAUCUCCCUUCCCCCUCCUUCUCUGAAGAACCCUAAAAUUGCCUCCUCCCAAAUUCUUCUCGUAAUCCAACCAAAUAUGGGAUUUGAUCUUAAUUUAUUACCAUACUCGACCCAUUUUUGGUACUGGCUAUUAUACUAAAUUGAUUGCCUAAACAUGACAAGAAAAUCUCUUCAAAAUCUAACCAAAAUUGGUUCAAAUCUCUUAUAUUCGAUAUUAUUCUGUCAAUAUUCGUAUUAUUCUACUAUGAGUCUGAUUUUGUUUAUAUUCUGUUGAUAUUUACUUUCCCUAAAAAACUAGGAUUUAUA
RNAcentral lists this long non-coding RNA (309 nucleotides) under Nicotiana benthamiana. RNAcentral describes it as "long non-coding RNA (NBEN_LNC039536)". Lineage: Eukaryota; Viridiplantae; Streptophyta; Magnoliopsida; Solanales; Solanaceae. The record is from RNAcentral.